UGGGAGAAAGGUUCUAAUUUCCAAGAAAAUAUGGGACGUUAGUUAGAAAAUCCAAACAAAAAGAUCUAGGGAUUGUUGAAAGAUUCAUAAGAAUAUGAACAGAAACCUAUAUAUUGAAUCCUUAUAAGAUGAUGACUAGUGCGCUGUAUAACUCACUUUAGCAAUAUGGAGAUUAUUUAUGAUUUAACAAGCAAGAUUUGGAAGCAAAUAAAAACUAAAUUUAUUAAACUAAUUUUUCUGAUGUUUUAAUAUAUUUUCAUUAAAUUAUGUAUAGCUAUUCGCUUUUUUUGUUUUAGAGUGGUUGAUAAUGAACCAUUAUAGAAAUAUGUCGGUUUUAGCACAAUAGACAUAUCAAAUGAAAUGAUUUACAAGCUUCUAUAAGACUUUGUCAGGAAACUAGUAGCUUGGAGAAGGGAAAGUAUAAACCAAAUAUGAAAGAGAUAAUUACAUUGAGCUCAAGUUUGUUACAUGUCAUAAAGUUUCAGCUCAAGCCAAGCUCAAUUAAUAUCGAGGUCCAUUCGAUCAGUCAAUUGAUGAGAAGAGGAGAAACCAACAAAGGAGAGAAAGCAAUGAAGAGAAAAAUCCAACAAGUGAGAGGAGAGGCAAUCUGAGAUUGUGUAUAAGAAAGAGUUCCUAGCUUUCAAUGACCAAGAACAGGAUCCAACAACUAUGAAGGAAAAGUGUGCCUUUCCCAACAUUGCCAUCCUCUUGCUCUCCUCCAUUCAUCUCUACAGAUCCAGCUUUGGCACCAGGACUGGGUCUAUGGAGCAUGCCUCUGACAACAUGACCUUGUUAAUCGAAAACCUACCACUCAAAAAGUUCUGAUGCAUGGGCUUCUAACUUUUGCAGAUGAAAUAAAAUGUCACGAAAGGCACCAAUGGCAUCACUACAACACAACCACAACCACAUGGGGAAUGAGAAUGAACAAUGAUGGCAGAUUCCAAGAUAUUGAAGAGGAGCACAAAGAUAAGAGUGGAAAAGACUUAACGUAGAAGACCAUGGGUUAUGUAUCUUAGUUUGAUAAAGUCUAAUAUCAAUUGUUAGACCUCAACGUCACAGCUGAUAUUAUCAUUAAGAAAAAUUCGUAGCAGCUAUCAGAUUGGGAUCUACUAGUUGUAAUCACAUAAAUACAUUAACAUCAAAAACUAAACACAAAUAUUUUUAAAUUACGUUUAUAUUUAUAUCUAUAAUAUUAAAAAAGAGACAGUCUUAAAUUUGGAAUAUUCUCCUAUAUAUUGGAUAUGUCAAUGUUUUGGAUAGCGAUGCCGUUAAAUUAAUUCUAAAAAUGUCUACCAUUCUAGAAAAAUUAAGAAAAUAAUCAUAAAUUCAAAAGUAAAUGAAUUAAAAUAAUAACUAUGGUCGAUAGUGCAAGCAUGCAUUGCAUGUGCUCAUUAGUUUGUUGACAUCAAUCAUCAAGCUUGUUUGAGCCUGGUAUACACAUGUUUGGCUAGUUUUACUUCGAUCUCUGAAACUAGCUCAAGCUCCGUUCAUUUUCUAUCAGACAGUUCACCCAUCUCGAGCCAGACAUGAAUAACUUAUGAAGGUCUUGCUCAAUGGACGGCACUCACUUAAAACAAUUAUUGCACUUCACGUUGUCACCAACACAUAUCCAAUUCUUGGAACCUUCUUCUAUUCAAAAGUCUACAAGGCUAACCAAUUGGUAGGAGAUUUCUAAACUUUAACAAACUAUAUACAAAGAAGACCAAUCUCUACCAAGUCCUCGCCAAUUCGUCUAACAAAUUUUUUAAAAUCAUAAACCCAAAACUGCCUAAAACUACAUAAAGAAAUGGAAAAGACAAGUGAAUGAAACGGGGAGGUACAUAUUACCCGACUUUUAUUUUCCAAUUGACAAAUCGUCAGCAAAAUGCACGGUACCGUCAAGACAGCGUAAACAGAUGAAAUUUGCAGCCCAAAAAUAAUAAUAAUAAUAACCAUCAACUCAAAUUCUACUGCUAACAAAUUAGGGAAAAUCAAGAUUUCAGACAAAGCAGCAAGCAACAAUCACGAUUCAAGCCAAAACUAAAAAACAACAAAAGAAAGAUGAAUCAAGGGAAGGGUCCAGGAAGCACCAUAGCUCGCUAGGGUUUGGUCGUCCUUCAAGAUCCGACCUUUAUAGAUCAAUCGCUGCUGCUCGGCCGGCACGUCGCAGCUCCCAGCGACAACAGCCUUGAACGCCUCGACGGUAGAGUCGAGCGACGUCUGGACGGAGAAUUUGGACCCAUUGGAGCACCGGAUGUGGACGGUGGCGCUGCCGCCCCUGUCGGCCGCGCAGGUAUCGCCUGCGUCGCCGGAAUCGCCGUCGGCACCCAUGUCAGGCAAAGAUCGGGCUUCCAAACCCUAAACAGAGACGAGUCCGGUCCCGAUCUGCAAUCAGAGGGGGGAAUUUGAGCUGAGAGAGAAGGGAAGGUGGGGUGGGAGGGAGGGAGUAAUGAGAGGGGAUCGAGAGGUCGGGAGAGAUGCCUUUGCCCAACCAAAACGGGGAAAAAAUGGCUUCCUUUCCUUCUUCGCUCUCCGGCUUCGACUACUUUUCGGCUCUUUUCGUCGAGGAUGCGGGGAAAGUUUGCCUGCAGGCGAAACGCAUAAAACGGACAGUGCGACAAGACAAUACGCCAGAGGAUGCCAUAAAUGGUGAUGCGCUCGUCCGAACGGAAGCCUUUAUGCGAGGGAGGCGGUUUAGCGUGUUGUCACGUGAUCUACACGUGAGUGACAGGCUUUGUGAUUUACAAACUCCCGAGAAAAGUUUUUUGUUUUUUUUUUUUUUUUGUUUU
This 2768-nucleotide long non-coding RNA is filed under the name Elaeis guineensis (African oil palm). RNAcentral describes it as "long non-coding RNA (EGUI_LNC034551)". The record is from RNAcentral. Lineage: Eukaryota; Viridiplantae; Streptophyta; Magnoliopsida; Arecales; Arecaceae.